CUGAACUUUCAUGUGAAGUGCCACCCCUGUGAGUUUUUAUGUGGAUUCAAGGCAAUUAGAAGCCCAGUUCCUCCAAAUCCCUCCGCAGACUGGUGCUUUCUAAACGUAACUCUUGGACAUCAAAGCAUGAUAACUGGAGAUACAUCAUUCCUGACAACAGAAGCUCAAUAUAUCAACUCACAUAGAAAAUUGCUGAUUGCCAUUGGUGGGGAAGGCCAGUGUCCUAUCCAGUAGGACAUACCACCUCUCUGCAUUCGAAUCCCACUUCUGUAACGUACUACUCUUGAGACCUGAACCAAGUCAUUUCUAUGUGGAUGCUUAGUUUCCUUGGCUCUCCAAUAAGGGAGUCAAACCAGAUGACUCUGAAGAUUCAUUCUAUUGUUUUUGCCUUUCCUUCCGAGGUUACCUUCUGUAUCCUCUGUAUAUAUCUCGUAUGUGCAUAGUUGUUGGCAUGUUGUCUCUCCCUGUUAGAAUAGGAGCUCCUCAAGGGCAGGGGAAGUAUGUCUUCAUCUCUCUUUGUAUUCCAGCCAACGUCUGACCACUGGUGAGUGCUUAAGAACUGCUUAUUGACCGACUGACUGAUCUCGAUCCCAUUUUUCCGAAUACUCUAGGACUACUUUUAUGUUCAUGUUAAACUGUUCAUUCUUAGGUCUGAAGCUUUCCCUUCUUGGUAUCACAACCCUCUACAAAUCUGCCUCCCUUCCCCCUCUGGGGAACACAUCUUCCAUUGGUGCCAAGCUUAGAAGAGCCUGAGUUAGCUUGGGUAUUGUGACCAGGGUGAGCUGACUCCCAGUGCUACUAUAGUUCUGUUAGGCAGUGAGGAAGCCUUUCUCCUCUAAGCCAGGCAUAGGAAGGCAGCUCCAGGGCAAUCAGGGGAAGACCACGACAACGUCUCGAGUUUACACCACUGAGAAUACUUAUAUUCUCAGCACAAGCUCUCUCUAUCCCAAACCUCCUAAAUCUCUGUCUUCCAUCAAGAAAGAAAUGACCAUAAUAUGAUGGUGAUGGAAUACGAUUGUGCUAUAAGGAAUGAGGAACUGUUUGAUUUCUAUGAAAACUGGGAAGACCUCCAUGAACAGAUGUAGAGUGAAAGGAGCACAACCAGGAGAACAAUGUACACAGAGACCAACUGAUACAUUGUGGGAUGACCAAAUGUAAUCAACUUUGCUUCUAAUAGCAAUGCAAUGAUCCAGGACAAUUCUGAGGGACUUAUGAGAAAGAACGCUAUCCACAUCCAGAGAAAGAACUGUGGGAGCGGAAACACAAGAAAAUUAUAUGAUUUAUCACUUGGUUUUAUAGGUAUAGAAUUUGGGGUUUUGGUUUUAAAAGAUUGCUCUAUUGUAAAAAUGAAUAAUAUGGAAAUAGGAUUUGAGUAUAAUCCAGUGGAAUUGCUUAUCAGAGGGUAGGAAAGAGGGGAGGGAGAGAACAUGAAUCAUGUACCAUGGAAAAAUACUUUGAAAUAUUUUAAUUAAAAAAAAAGAAAUGACCAUAUACAAAAUGCAUGGCAUUCCAAAUAUUAUCCUUGAAUCUUCCCGAGUCUCAGUUUCCUCAUCUGUAAAAUGAUUAUUUGCACUGCGUGGUCUAUGAAGGCCCUUCUAGCUUUUGCUCUCAGGUCUUAGAAGGCCAAGAAUCAUUCCUAAACACUGGAGCACCUUCUACCCAUCAAGCAGUCUAUGUGUAGGCUUUGAGUCUUGAGGGUCCUUUAGCUCUAUCUUUAAAGAGGUAUGUAGGGGCAGCUGGGUGGGUCAGAGGAUGGAGAGUCAGGCCUAGAGACAAGAGAUUCCAGGUUCAAAUCUGGCCUCAGACAGUUCCUAGCUGUGUGACCCUGGGCAAGUCACUUAAUCCCCCUUGCCUAGCCCUUACCACUCUUCUGCCUUGGAACCAAUACACAGUAUGGAUUCGAAGGCAGAAGGUAGAGGUUUUUGCCCUUUGGCAAAAUUGGGCCUUUUACCCAAUGAGAGAAUAUAAUCACAAUAAAUCAGCAACAAUUGAUAUUCAGCAAAGCUGAGAACUGCAUUAUGAAAUCUUUCUUUAAAGCUUUCAAAAAAUUUUUUUCAUACAUUAACUCCCUAUAGCAUUACAGUGAUCCCACAAGGGAAGUACUACAGGUAUCAUGAUUCCCAUUUUACAGAUGAGAGAAAUGAAGCUCAGAGAUCUCUAAGAUCACUUGGUUACUAAGUGGAAGAGGUAGGAUUGGAACUCAGAUCUUCCUGACUCAAAGUCUAACACUCCGUGCAUGCCUUGGUGAAGAAUAUGGAUCUGGACCCACCAAGACUCAGCCAAGCAAAGGCCAUCCUUAGCAAUGACAACUUCUUCCCAUAGGUAAUAAUAUUCUUACUGAAAUGAACUAAGACCUCUGAGUUCUCCCUCUGGCCUGGCCCAAAGUCCAGUAUCUACAACACAAACACUUUUCAAUUUAAUGAAAAAAAAAAAGACAAAACACCACAACUUGUAGCAAGAUGGCACAUUGGAUAGAGUGCUAGGCCUGGAAUUAAGAAGACUUAUCUUCCUGAGUUCGAAUCCAGCAUCAGAACUUACUAGCUGUAUGAUCCUGGGCAAGUCACUUAUUCCUGUUUGCCUCAGUUUCCUCAUCUGUAAAAUGAACUGAAGAAGAAAAUGGUAAACCACUCCAGAAAGGUCAAGAAAACCCAUUUAUGGGGACAUGAAGAGUUGGACACAACUGAAAUGACUGAACUACCACUGUUUAUUUGUAAAGAGGUUUUCAGAGAACUCACCUGAAGCAGGUAGGUCAGGGACUAUCCCUGUUUUUUAAACAGAUGAAGAAACUGAGGCUCAGAUAUCCGAUAAGUAGCAACUUCCAAGGUCAGCAAAGCUGAGACAAGAACCUUGUUUCCCUAAUUCUUAGUGUCAAAUCACCUCAAAAGAGGGGAGAAGACAAAGUUAAAUGAUGACUUUGUUGGAAGGCCUCCAGUCAAAGAAAAACCUCUACUUGCCCAGCUAGCCAGUUCUAGUUUUUUGGGGAGCUUCCAUGAUGAGGAGUCCUUUCCCUCGAGCCUCAAUUUGCCGCUCUACAACAGAACUGGUAGAACCAGAAAUCUUUGCAAAGCCUUUGUCGAAGUCUCUCAUGUGGAAAAAAAAAAUAUGGACAGAUUGGGAACAACUUCAUUUUACAGGUGAGUAAACUGAGUCCCAGAUAGACACACCUUAAGUUCACAGAGUGAAAAAUAGCAGAGCUGGAAUUAGAACCCAGAUCCUAGGACUUCAAGCCUCUGGCCACCAUCUUCCCACUUAAUUCUAGUGCCUUCCCUCGGUUGAUUAUCUCCAGUUUUUUCUACAUCUAGCUUGUUUGUACAAGGUUGUUUGGAUGUCAUCUCCUCCAUUAGACCAUGAACUCCUGGAGAGCAGGGACUGUCUUUUGUCUUUCCUUAUAUUCCUGGUGCUUAGCACAGUGCUGGGCACAUGGUAGGUUCUUACAGAAUAUUAACUGCUCCACUGAUUUCCCCCUGUGCCAGUUGGUAACUUUCAGGGAUAAUUCCUGAUCUACCUGCUGUGCCAGUUGGUCAUUUUCCAUAUGAAUAGAGUGAUCUUCUGACUCUGCUAAGCACCUUUCACAAAUAUUCUCUCAUCCAGUCCUCACUACAGCCCUAGAUAGAAGUGCUAUUAGUAUCCCCAUUUUACAGUUGAAAAAACUGAGGUCCAAUGACUGGCCCAGGAUCUCACAGCUAGAAAGCCUCUGAAGCUACAUUAGAAUGCAUGUCUUCCAUGUAAUGCCCAGUGGAUUUACGCGUCGGUUAUGGGGGGUGGGGGGAGGAAAAGAAAAUGAUCUAUGUCUUUAAUGAAUAAUGCUUGGAAAUGAUCAAAUAAAAUAUAUUAAAAAAUAUAUUUUAAUAAAAAAAAAAGAAUGCAUGUCUUCAUGGCUCCAGGUUCAG
This is a long non-coding RNA of Monodelphis domestica (gray short-tailed opossum), 3890 nucleotides long. RefSeq lists it as uncharacterized. Lineage: Eukaryota; Metazoa; Chordata; Mammalia; Didelphimorphia; Didelphidae. The record is from RefSeq and is a predicted model, not a curated record.